Molecule: ribosomal RNA, 856 nt
Filed under: uncultured bacterium
Lineage: Bacteria
Description: bacterial SSU rRNA
Rfam family: Bacterial small subunit ribosomal RNA
Source: RNAcentral
GACGAACGCUGGCGGCGUGCUUAACACAUGCAAGUCGAACGGAAAGGCCCUUCGGGGUACUCGAGUGGCGAACGGGUGAGUAACACGUGGGUGAUCUGCCCUGCACUUUGGGAUAAGCCUGGGAAACUGGGUCUAAUACCGAAUAUGAUCAUCGGCUUCAUGGUCGGUGGUGGAAAGCUUUUGCGGUGUGGGAUGGGCCCGCGGCCUAUCAGCUUGUUGGUGGGGUAAUGGCCUACCAAGGCGACGACGGGUAGCCGGCCUGAGAGGGUGUCCGGCCACACUGGGACUGAGACACGGCCCAGACUCCUACGGGAGGCAGCAGUGGGGAAUAUUGCGCAAUGGGCGGAAGCCUGACGCAGCGACGCCGCGUGGGGGAUGACGGCCUUCGGGUUGUAAACCUCUUUCGGCCCCGACGAAGCGUGAGUGACGGUAGGGGUAGAAGAAGCACCGGCCAACUACGUGCCAGCAGCCGCGGUAACACGUAGGGUGCGAGCGUUGUCCGAAAUUAUUGGGCGUAAAGAGCUCGUAGGCGGUGUGUCGCGUCGGCCGUGAAAACCUGCAGCUUAACUGUGGGCUUGCGGUCGAUACGGGCAUCACUGGAGUUCGGCAGGGGAGACUGGAAUUCCUGGUGUAGCGGUGAAAUGCGCAGAUAUCAGGAGGAACACCGGUGGCGAAGGCGGGUCUCUGGGCCGAUACUGACGCUGAGGAGCGAAAGCGUGGGGAGCGAACAGGAUUAGAUACCCUGGUAGUCCACGCCGUAAACGUUGGGCGCUAGGUGUGGGGGCCAUUCCACGGUCUCUGUGCCGUAGCUAACGCAUUAAGUGCCCCGCCUGGGGAGUACGGCCGCAAGGCUAAA